UACGUAGGGUGCAAGCGUUAAUCGGAAUUACUGGGCGUAAAGCGUGCGCAGGCGGUUGUGUAAGACAGAUGUGAAAUCCCCGGGCUCAACCUGGGAACUGCAUUUGCGACUGCACGGCUCGAGUGCGGCAGAGGGGGAUGGAAUUCCGCGUGUAGCAGUGAAAUGCGUAGAUAUGCGGAGGAACACCGAUGGCGAAGGCAAUCCCCUGGGCCUGCACUGACGCUCAUGCACGAAAGCGUGGGGAGCAAACAGG
RNAcentral lists this ribosomal RNA (253 nucleotides) under uncultured bacterium. Its description in RNAcentral is "partial 16S ribosomal RNA". It matches the Rfam family "Bacterial small subunit ribosomal RNA", at positions 524 to 776 of the family's 1533-position model. The record is from RNAcentral.